AUUGAACGCUGGCGGCAGGCCUAACACAUGCAAGUCGAGCGGAUGAAGGGAGCUUGCUCCUGGAUUCAGCGGCGGACGGGUGAGUAAUGCCUAUGAAUCUGCCUGGUAGUGGGGGAUAACGUCCGGAAACGGGCGCUAAUACCGCAUACGUCCUGAGGGAGAAAGUGGGGGAGCUUCGGACCUCACGCUAUCAGAUGAGCCUAGGUCGGAUUAGCUAGUUGGUGGGGUAAAGGCCUACCAAGGCGACGAUCCGUAACUGGUCUGAGAGGAUGAUCAGUCACACUGGAACUGAGACACGGUCCAGACUCCUACGGGAGGCAGCAGUGGGGAAUAUUAGACAAUGGGCGAAAGCCUGAUCCAGCCAUGCCGCGUGUGUGAAGAAGGUCUUCGGAUUGUAAAGCACUUUAAGUUGGGAGGAAGGGCAGUAAGUUAAUACCUUGCUGUUUUGACGGUACCAACAGAAUAAGCACCGGCUAACUUCGUG
RNAcentral lists this ribosomal RNA (484 nucleotides) under uncultured bacterium. Its description in RNAcentral is "partial 16S ribosomal RNA". It matches the Rfam family "Bacterial small subunit ribosomal RNA", at positions 30 to 507 of the family's 1533-position model. The record is from RNAcentral.